Molecule: long non-coding RNA, 2669 nt
Filed under: Zea mays
Lineage: Eukaryota; Viridiplantae; Streptophyta; Magnoliopsida; Poales; Poaceae
Description: long non-coding RNA (ZMAY_LNC003106)
Source: RNAcentral
CUUCUCGGCUCGGACUCGCCCUCCCUCGACGCAUAUAUGGGUCGAGCCGUGACCCCUGUGCCCAAUUGUGCGUCACCAUGUCUGAGAAAUAGAAAGGACAGGGGACAGCCCGCCGUCAUUGCGAUCUGCUCCCUGGGCCGUAUGUCCUUGACGGAUGGCACCAGCGGGAUCACUAGGGACCCUAGUACUUGGGCAAAGGAGUUGCCGACACCGGGGAUCGCUGGAGUCGCGAGAAUUGCUCGUUGUUGCUUAACUUCAUCGACAAUCCCCAGCGCGCCGUGGCCGUCAAGAAUUUCCCUGUGAAUUCCGGUGAGAGCCUUUUCCGCAGCUUCCCCAUGUCCCCAAUUCGGUAUAACAUUAUUUUUAUUAGGAAAUUGAGUUCCCGGGCGGGCGGGCUGCCGUUCUAGCCAUGGCGCCGUUGCGGCGCUGGCGUCUCUUCCUGCUUUCGGCUGGGGGUGUGUGUGUGAGGGAGAGGGAGAUCUGACCGUUAAAUCCGAUCACGGAGGGACAUGGAUCCACCGUUGGAUCGUGGUGAACGGCAGGGAUUAGCUUGUCAUAGGUGUCCAGCCGAAGUCGAUCAGAACCGUUGAUCGAAAAGCACGUGAUCGAGGUUAGCUCCGGGCACUUUAAAUCUGGUCCGUUGAUUGCUUGUUGGGCGGUCACAAUUAAAUCAGAAGCGCGUCCCUCGUCUGUGUAAUCAAAGCCGGUGAUUGGGUGAUGGACGGUCAAAACUGGGUCUCGGUUAUUUAAAACACUAGGCGACGGAUCUCGAUCCGAUGGCUACCUUUGAAUACCGAUUCGCAUUAAGGGCAAUUCUAACCUGGUCGUGGGAUCUGAUCUGGACGACCAGAAUCAUCCAAUACCCCUUCGCCAUGCACUUUGACAUAUGAGACCCUAUGCUUUUCACAAACUAACAUGUUGUCCUGUGCUCAGUAAUGGGACCCUCGGGUUAGGUUUCGAAAUUGCAAACCAGUCCCUAGAAAUUUGAAGAAACGCCCCUAGAAGUAAUCUUAAUAUAAAAUUUAUACUUAAAAUAUCCCUAAAACUUGUUUAAUUCAUAUUUUGUUCAUUUUAACUCCGAUUUAGUCUGUUCUAGUUGCAUUAACUUUGUAAUAAUAUUGCAUAAGCUUUUGUAACGAUAUUUUAUCAGAUAAUAUGUUUGUAAAAAUAAAUAUGCAUUUAACCUAUGUCUAAUAGAUUAAUCCUUCUAAUCAAAGUUAAUCCGUCAAUAAUUAUAAUCUGACUAAAAUAUGAUUUCCAAUUAAGAUAUAACUUAAAUUAGUUAUUUCUUUAAUAUCUUUUCUCACUUGAUUUUUAUUAAUCAACAUAUAAUAUAGUGUUAGUGUUUAAACACCUUAAACUUUAGAAAACUAUAUCUUUUGAACCAUAACCCUGAUUUUAAUACUUCUCGAACCUACAAUCUCGUAGCAUCACAUAGAAGAUUCUUACGCCAUUUGUUCUCAUGAUUGUUGUAUUGUUAUUUUUAUGUACUCUUUGUUUAUUUGUAUGUUUUGCUACGAGUAGCGGUGAUGUCACGGGAAUCUGAAGACUAACUUGGUACCUAGAAUCUCGAGUCCCAGGCAAGUUGUGUCCUUGAUCACUUUUUUUACCUAAUAAUGUUCCUGUUAAUCAAUGUGACAUGCUCAGGUUAAUUUUAUGGGACCCAAUAGGUUUCCCUAGCAUUGUUUAUCCCUUACCUUGCAAACAGAAGCACUAUUGGGUAGUUUUGCUAUUGCUCCACCUAGUUUUGGGAAAUUAAUGUUAUAUUAUGAUCAUGUUCUAGUUAUACUGUUGUUUUAAUUAUUGUUCAUGAGAAGAUCAUUGUGUUAAUUGGAACAUAGAGCGACCACCCGGGAAAACAGUGCUACCACAAGGGUGGUAUGGGACACCAUUGCUGACUAAUUAGGAAAGCUAGUGGAAGACUACCUUACCUGAAAGGGGCAAGGGCGGUAGAGGAGCUACAUAUAGGGAGGUUCUCGGGUCGAUUAUGCUGUGAUGUCUUUUCGGGCGUGGGAUUCCUAUAUUGCCCUUCUCAGAAACCGUAGCGGGUUUUCAGAAGCUAGUAGAACUUUGUAAAGGCCUCAUAGUGGUACCCUGCCUCGUCUCCUCGGUAGAGAUGAAUGAGAAGUCGUGAUCCCUUGGCAAAUGGGUAACAUGACUUAUGAGUAAAGAUGUGCAACCUCUGUAGAGUGUAAAACUGGUAUAUCAGUCGUGCUCAUGGUCAUGAGCAGCUCGGACCCUCACAUGAGUAAUUUAUGGAACUAAACUUAAUUUGUCAUAUGUAUUGCAUUGUGGGUGUUAUUAUUAAUCUUGAUCUCUUAUUUAUUUGGGUUGGUAUCUACUUUUACUUAGUAACUGCUAAUAAAUUUUUGACCAACUCUAAAAGCAAUGCUCAAAUUUAACCAUCUCCUUUGGUAAGCCUUACACUUCACAUGAGCUCCCACCUUUGGUGAGUUCAUGCAAAUUAUUCCCCACAACUUGUUGAGCGAUGAACGUAUGUGAGCUCACCCUUGUUGCACUCACAUCCCCCAAGUCAAGAACAGGUACCACAGGAUGAGGCGCAUGAAGGAUGCAGUGAUGAGUUCGUGAGUGGUUUAGGCCGUCAUCUCCCAGUCAACUUUGUGUUGCUGGAUCGUUGUCUUCGUAUGAUGUAAUUAUUUAACUACUUU